Molecule: ribosomal RNA, 468 nt
Filed under: uncultured bacterium
Lineage: Bacteria
Description: partial 16S ribosomal RNA
Rfam family: Bacterial small subunit ribosomal RNA
Source: RNAcentral
GACGAACGCUGGCGGCGUGCUUAACACAUGCAAGUCGAACGGAAAGGCCCUGCUUUUGUGGGGUGCUCGAGUGGCGAACGGGUGAGUAACACGUGAGUAACCUGCCCUUGACUUUGGGAUAACUUCAGGAAACUGGGGCUAAUACCGGAUAGGAGCUCCUGCUGCAUGGUGGGGGUUGGAAAGUUUCGGCGGUUGGGGAUGGACUCGCGGCUUAUCAGCUUGUUGGUGGGGUAGUGGCUUACCAAGGCUUUGACGGGUAGCCGGCCUGGGAGGGUGACCGGCCACCUUGGGACUGCGAUACGGCCCAGUCUCCUACGGGAGGCAGCAGUGGGGAAUAUUGCACAGUGGGCGGAAGCCUGAUGCAGCAGCGCCGCGUGCGGGAUGACGGCCUUCGGGUUGUAAACCGCUUUCGCCUGUGACGAAGCGUGAGUGACGGUAAUGGGUAAAGAAGCACCGGCUAACUACGUG